GCUUACGACCACACCGGCCUGAGUACGCCUGAUCUCGUCUGAUCUCGGAAGCUAUGCAGGGUCUGGCCUUGUUAGUACUUUGAUGGGAGACCGCCUGGGAAUACCAGGUGCUGUAAGCU
Ribosomal RNA from Oncorhynchus kisutch (coho salmon), 119 nucleotides. The record is from Ensembl. Lineage: Eukaryota; Metazoa; Chordata; Actinopteri; Salmoniformes; Salmonidae.